AUACUGAAAUUCCACUGUGUAGGA
This 24-nucleotide non-coding RNA is filed under the name Arabidopsis thaliana (thale cress). The record is from RNAcentral. Lineage: Eukaryota; Viridiplantae; Streptophyta; Magnoliopsida; Brassicales; Brassicaceae.